UAACCACUCAAGCCUUUGCUUGGUAUUGGGGUUCGCGGUUUCGCGGCUCCUAAAAUCAGUGGCGGUGCCUGUCGGCUCUACGCGUAGUAAUACUCCUCGCGUCUGGGUCCGGUAGGUGACUUGCCAGCAACCCCCAAAUUUUUACA
This 146-nucleotide unclassified non-coding RNA is filed under the name uncultured Helotiales. RNAcentral describes it as "sequence contains ITS2". Lineage: Eukaryota; Fungi; Ascomycota; Leotiomycetes; Helotiales. The record is from RNAcentral.